This is a long non-coding RNA of Lathyrus oleraceus (garden pea), 3890 nucleotides long. RefSeq lists it as uncharacterized. The transcript is spliced from 5 exons. The record is from RefSeq and is a predicted model, not a curated record. Lineage: Eukaryota; Viridiplantae; Streptophyta; Magnoliopsida; Fabales; Fabaceae.
UUCUCCGCUCAAACACCGAACCCUAUCUCGCUUCUUCCGUCUCUUAUCAACACGGACGGACACAUGCAUCAUUACAGCAGAACUUGAUUUUGAACAUAACAUCACAUCAGUUUCAACUCUACUCUGGUUUUCUUCCUGCAGGCCACUAAGGGUAAGUCCCUGCUCCAGUCUUGAUCAGAAUACAUAACGAGGUCCUAUUGGAUAUGGAUAUUAGAAAUAAAUCUUCUCAUCCAGUUGUUUAGUGAUGACAUAUGGUGAAAAUAAGAGGCAUGGAGUUCAAUUUCCCCCCUAAAACAAUUCUCACAAUUCAGUUAUUUACAAACUAAAACUUUUCAUAUAAGGGCAUUUGGUCUAGUGGUAUGAUUCUCGCUUUGGGUGCGAGAGGUCCCGAGUUCGAUUCUCGGAAUGCCCCCUUUUUGAAAUUGAAGGGCAUUUGGUCUAGUGGUAUGAUUCUCGCUUUGGGUGCGAGAGGUCCUAAGUUCCAUUCUCAGAAUGCCCCUUUUUUUAAUUGUUUUGAAGCUCUGGAAGGUUAUCAUUGUUUAAUUCAAUAUGAAUAAACUACCGAUUCACUUUUAUAUUUGUUAAAGAUAUGAAACUGACACGCUCGACUUAUUUUCUGGUGUAUUGGUUAAUUAACAAUUAUGUUUCAGGACUUAUUUGUUAAAGGUGAAUGCCUUGAGAUGAAUGCUCUGAUACAUGAAUCUAUUUAUCUAUUUCUAUUUUAUUAUUUUUAUUCAUUAGUUUUAUAAAAUAUGAUUGCGGAAUUAUAGCGUGACACGUCAUCUUUCAAUAUGCCAAGUAAUCUCUUUUUUGCCACAUCAAAUAUAAUUGAUGUGUACACUCUCAAUUAUUUGUUAUUCACCAUGUCUACUUCUCUUGCAUCUCUCAAAGAACUUCACUACUCUACACAUUGCAUGUUAAUUAAAUAUUACAUUAAUGGACAUAGCAAAUAUAAUCUGAAUGUGAACCAUAACUUUUUUUAUUGUUAUUAAUUUCUGCAUUGUUGCAGUUUGGGUUUAGAUCAUUCUCUAAUCUUAUGACUCUUCUCCUUUCAUAUUGCAGCCGGUUAAAUUUUUGAACAUUACUUCAGGUUAUGUAUCUUCUUCAAUUGCAUAUUGCCUCACCGUUUACCUCGUCUUUUCAUGUUUAUUCAAAGCAUUUGGCUAAAUAUGUCUUUACCGUAAGUGCCCUUCAGCUGUUUGUUGAAAUGUUUCUUCCAACUGUUUGUAUAUAUUCGAAUAUUCUGCUGUAUUUACAUCUUGGAAGUGGGGUUAUACAAAUGUCAUUUUUGGCGCAGGGCACUGCAAAAUGUAAAUACACUAUCUAUUUUUCAAUAGGGAAUUGUUCCUAAAUUCAAUUUAGAAUUGAUCGGAUAAAGAAAAUCAACGAAAAUGGGAAUUAUUGAAUAACCAUAAAAAACUUCAAUUAAUGUUCCUUUAAUGUCCAUCCUUCAUGUGGAUUUGAUGGUUUUCUGAUUUCAUAUCAAGCUCAGAAAAAAAAUUGGGCUUCUUCUAUCUCAGUUAUAGGUAUUAAUAAUUUGUCGGGUUUGAAUGAGGCAUUUGAUUCAGCAGCAUUCCACUGUCUGAGGGAUAGUUCCUCACUAACACCAUAUUCUUGAAGCUUAGUAAUUAGAAAACUGUAGUUUAGCGGAAACGAUAACUCGAGUAUAGUAUCGCAAAAAUUCUUGUUUUAUUAUUAAUCUACUGAAUGGUGUUAGUUCCCUGACAUCACUCCUAUCUUUCUUAGUUAGCAGCAUUCCACUGUAUGAGGAAUUGGGGGCAUAGACAGAAAUCCAAGUGCAGCAUCAAUCUCAGCAUUGUUGGGCUUGCAUUGCUUCAUCAAAGUGGUUUCUGAUUCUUGAUCAGAAUGAAUGAUGAGAUCCUAUUGGAUAUGGAUAUCAAAAAUAAAUCUUGUCCACUUGUUAGUGAUGACAUAUAUAGGCAAAUAAGAGGGCAUUUGGUCUAGUGGUAUGAUUCUCGCUUUGGGUGCGAGAGGUCCCGAGUUCGAUUCUCGGAAUGCCCCCUUUUGAAGCUGUGGAAGUUUGACAUUGUUAAUUGUUUAAUUCAAUAUGAAUAAGCUAGCUUCACUGACGCUGAUACAUGAAUCUAUUUCUAUUUUAUUAUUAUUAUUUCUAUUUUAUUAAAACAGAAUUGCAGAAUUAUAGCAUGAAACCUCAUCUAUCAAUAUGCCAACUAAUCUAUUUUUUGUCACAUCAAAUAUAAUCUGAUGUGUACACUCAAAUAUUUGUUAUUAACCAUUGUCCGCUACUCUUGCAUCUCUCAAUGAACUUCAAUACUCUACACAUUUCAUGUUUUCAAUUAUGAGCUAUGUAGCAGUGACACCUCUGAAAAGAAGGUGCGUCCGCGUUAGUCUUUGUUUCCGACACCGAUAAUUAUUAUUAUGUUUAACUUAUUUGUUUUUUUUCAAAUUAUUACCGGUAUCGACAUUUCAGUGUCGGUGUCGGUGUCGUGUUUCCGAUGUCGGUGUUUCUGAUUAUGAGUGAAGCUGAUAAAAUUCUCAAUUUAGCCUUUUCAAACAAAGUAUUUUAUUGGCUGGAAAUACCUGAGUAAGUUCAAUUUUCAUGUGAACUUCAGAAUUUUAUACACAUGCAGGAUAUUCUAAUUUGAGUAAUAGUCAUUUUUGUAUUGUGCUAAAUGAAAUUAGUAAUGCAGGUGCUACAAGAAAAGAAGGAAGAUUUUGAUUAAUACAUAAGAGAGGCGCUUCCAAUUGAGAUUAUGUACCAUUGGAAAUUAAUCUGUUAGAUUCUAUGUGAAGAUGGAAAGACUAUGAAAAAACCAGGUUUGAUGUAGAAAAUCUGAAGUGUAAAUGGUAAAGAUGUUUUUUUACGACAAUUUAAUUCUAUUAAUUUGCCAUUUAAAUUUCUCUUGGCUCAUUAUUUGAUUCCCUAUUGUUAUAAACUAGAACUUAACAUUUAUCUCACUAUCAUCUUUUUUUGCUAGGUGUAAAUUGUGCGGUACUAUUUCAUCUUUUAUUAGAUAAAUACGUGUAGUGAACAACUUGAUUGCAUCAUUUAGUUAUUCUUUAACUUUUCAUAAAGUAAAUAUUCAAGUUACCCGCGCAACGUGCGGGUAUAUUAGUAGUCAAACUCUUCCUUUUACAAUCACAAUUGACAAAUAAUUUUGCUUUAUAACAAUGGGAAAGAAUUGCAUUGUUAUAUGAAAUAAAGUGUUAGAUGGUAAAAAGCCAACAAUAAAAUACUCGGGGUAGCAUGAGUGAAGUCCCGGUCCAUGAGGAUGCUACAAUGGAGAGAGUUGGGGUAGAAAACUAGCACCUAUUGGAGAUAACAGGUUAAAUAUCGACUUAGAUGGUUAUGAACAUAUAUGGAGUAAACCUAUAGAUUCCAUAUAAGGAGAAUAGAUUCUAUGGAUAGUGGUGACACAAUGAUGUAGAGAAAUAUCAUGAAAUACUAAUGACAAAACUAUUAAGAAAUGCAUAGAGGACCAUUUUUGCUAUAUAUAUGAUCUAUUCUAUGUUAGUAUUAUUUAUAACAUUAUGACGGCUUUUGACUCAAGUAGGCAACUUCACCUAGUGGGACAAAUCAGAUUGUUGUAUAAGAAUGUGGAAAUGUAAGAUGGAUCAUUUUCUUUUUAAUUUCAACUGUGAAAAUGUAAAAUUGGCAAUAUGCAAUCACUCAGGGCAUUUGGUCUAGUGGUAUGAUUCUCGCUUAGGGUGCGAGAGGUCCCGAGUUCAAUUCUCGGAAUGCCCCCUGAUUCCAAAAUUUAGAGUUUUAACUUUUCUAUAAUUUAGUUAAAUACAAAUAAAGCUUGGUUAUUUUAAUUUAUUGUUGAAGAUCUUGAAGCUACAGGGUUGACAAAUUAAUUGGUAAUGUGAAUAUGCAUGUGAUGCUGUUUUUAAUGCAGGGUUGCAUU